RNAcentral lists this long non-coding RNA (1562 nucleotides) under Helianthus annuus (common sunflower). RNAcentral's name for it is "hypothetical non coding rna". The record is from RNAcentral. Lineage: Eukaryota; Viridiplantae; Streptophyta; Magnoliopsida; Asterales; Asteraceae.
UCAAAACUCUCAAUAACUUGCACCAUCCAAGAAUUAUGUCCCUAACACAAUCAAAACACACUCUCUCUCUCUCUCUCUCUAAAUAAUUCAGCCAAUCACCCCUACACACACACACAAUUCAUAAUUUUAAAUCUUUCUUGAAGAUUUGAAGACAUUUCAAAGUGUUUUAAAACUUGUAUGAAGGAUUAGAGGUGAUUUCAAGGAGAUUUGAGCAAAAACCAAGCAUCAUAUCAUCUUUUUAUUCAAAAACCCACUUGAAUCUUGAAGGACGUCUGGAAAUCAAAAUGUGGGAAUGCUAUUUAAAAAUACGCACCCAAAGGUACUUGAGUUCGGCUUCGGGAAUUAUGGCGUAUCUUGUGUUUGUUGAUGCAUGUUUGGUUUGAUAAUGUUUUGGACAAACUUUUAAAACUAUUUGGGACCAAUGUAAUAAGAUCCAUAAGGAUCAAAACAAUUUAAUUAUGGUGUGAUUGUGACGAACUUUAAGACUUUAUGUUUUAAAAUCUAUGUUUUAGUUAAGUUGAAAUGUCCAACAUUACGAUGCAUCGUUCAGCAAGAUACAAAUGGGCAACAGCUUCCGUCACCACUACGUUUUAUAUUCCGCUGCGACGUUUUUGGGGUGUGACAUGGGCCUCCCGCGUUUGGACUCCGGCUUGAGAAUUAGUAGAAUAUUCUUUGAGAGUCUUAGCAAAAGAAAGGAUAACUUAACCUUUGGCUGGGACAAGACACUUCUUAUAUAGGCAGACUGGUCUGCCUAAGGAGCCUCCUGCCAGUUGUACACCUUCUAGUCCAGGUAAGCUUAUCCAUCCUGAUGUUACUUUCAGGUUUGGCCUUUACCUCUUUGGAUAUGUUUCAGGUUUUGUGUGUCUCGAGGACACCUUUAUGCUUUAUAGAGGUUUGCCUUUUCAUCCUGACUUAUUCAAUUCAAGUCCCGAGGUUGUACAGUAAUUUUGCCUUCCUGUCAUUAGAUGUGGGUGUAUCAAGCUCCUGGUCAGGAGCUUUUAGCUUCUAACUUUCAGCUUCUUGUUUUGUGUUUCAUCAUUGUUUAUAUAUUUUUACUAUUGUCAUUAAUUUUGACUUUAUUGACUGAGAUCUCCGAGUACCCACGUCAUCAAAUAUAGAUUAUAAGUAUCAUUUUAUUGAAAUAGCUAUUAAUUUAUAAUAUAAAUGUAAAUUAUGAGUAUCAAUUUAUUGAAUAAACAUCGUAGAUCAUAUUAAAUGAAAACUAAUAAAAUAUUAAUUAGGGCUUUUUCUUUAUAAAAAAAAUAAUUAGCAUUUUCUUAUUUGUAAUUUAUUGGUUACGUAUAUAAUAAGCGUAAAUAACAAAACAACUAUAAUGUCUUUACCUUGUGUUUGGAAUUUAUAGAUCGGAGUAACUGAAGGGUUGCCGGAAAAUGCGACUCUUGUUAGAAGAUUAUAUGUUUGGGAUAUGUAAUUUGAAAGGUUUUCUAUUUGGCUUUUUUUGAAAUAAUUGGUGUAAAUUUGUAAUUAUGUAAUGAUUCUAUUGUUAAAUGCCUCGAUUUGAGGUUCGCCCGGUUCUUAUGAAAUUCACCUUUCAAAAAAAA